This 207-nucleotide ribosomal RNA is filed under the name uncultured bacterium. Its description in RNAcentral is "partial 16S ribosomal RNA". It matches the Rfam family "Bacterial small subunit ribosomal RNA", at positions 568 to 774 of the family's 1533-position model. The record is from RNAcentral.
UGCGCAGGCGGCCGUGUAAGUCAGAGGUGAAAUAUGACGGCUCAACCGUCAAACUGCCUCUGAGACUGCUCGGCUUGAGUCCGGGAGAGGAAGGUGGAAUUCCUGGUGUAGCGGUGAAAUGCGUAAAUAUCAGGAGGAACACCGGUGGCGAAGGCGGCCUUCUGGCCCGGUACUGACGCUCAUGCACGAAAGCCAGGGGAGCGAACG